GCUUACGGCCACACCGCCUGGUUCACUCCGAUCUCGUUUGAUCUCGGAAGCUAAAAUAGGGUGGGCCUGGUUAGUACUUGGAUGGGAGACCGCCUGGGAAUACCAGGUGUUGUAAGAU
Molecule: ribosomal RNA, 118 nt
Filed under: Scophthalmus maximus (turbot)
Lineage: Eukaryota; Metazoa; Chordata; Actinopteri; Pleuronectiformes; Scophthalmidae
Source: RNAcentral